Molecule: long non-coding RNA, 2126 nt
Filed under: Homo sapiens (human)
Lineage: Eukaryota; Metazoa; Chordata; Mammalia; Primates; Hominidae
Description: HSALNT0036250
Source: RNAcentral
GUCGGUUCCCGUGACGCGGCGCGCCCCAAGGGCCGGCUCCGUUGAGGGAAGGGAAGCCCGCCCGGUGGCGGCUGGGGUCGGCUGCUGGGAGGAGGUGGUGGGCUGGUUCGGACGUGGGUCGAGGCUGUAGCAGGACUCCAGAUGUUACCGAGUACUUCAGUGAAUUCCUUAGUGCAGGGGAACGGAGUCUUGAAUUCCAGGGAUGCGGCAAGACACACAGCCGGAGCGAAACGCUACAAAUAUCUGAGAAGGCUUUUCCGCUUUCGGCAAAUGGACUUUGAAUUUGCUGCCUGGCAGAUGCUCUACCUGUUCACAUCCCCACAGAGAGUUUACAGAAAUUUUCAUUAUCGAAAACAGACGAAGGACCAGUGGGCCAGAGAUGACCCUGCUUUCUUGGUCCUGUUAAGUAUCUGGCUCUGUGGUAAGUGUGUUUAUCUGAGAUAGAAUUGAACGCUGAGUGUUUCUGAUUAGAUUUUUUGUUAUAAAUGUGUUGUGGGUCAGAAUCUGGAAAUAUUGGAAACUAUUUCUCCUUUUUACUGAAGCCUCAAAAAAUCUCACAGGAAAGAAAGUUGUAGUCUUGGUUCUACAGGUCCCAAGCAGAUGCCAGAGUAAACUGUUACCCUAGGACAUUGAAAAGCAGGGGACAAGAUUCACUCCAUAUCUUUUUAAGUACUUGAAUCGGUACCCAAAUGUCAGCUGACUGUGAAUAGGAAUAUGAAACUGGAAAUUGCAUUUCACAGGCAAAUCCACAGUGAGAAUUGUAAAGGUAUUGAUGGGAACCUGAGAAACUGAAGUUCUCCAAUUCCAUAAUGCAAGGGUCUCAUUUACCUGUAGGGUGUUGAAGUGGGUAAGAUAUUGAAGUUUAUAGGGUGUUUUGCACCUUAACUGGACUUAAACUAUGUUAGUGCCUUCUCUACACUGGCGUUCUAAAUACUGAGGCCACCGUGGUGAAUCAGCCUGGCAAGGGCCCACCUCAGGAAACUUCAACUCUCUCAGUGGCCACGCUGUGUCCCAAGGUAGUGUUCACACAUCUUGGGAGUUUUGUUUAAAGACCUGUCUCUCCCACUAGCCUGGGCAUCUGGAGGGCAAGGGAUGUGUCCUGUAUUUCCAGAACCUAGCAGAGUCCCUAAAUGAAUCUUGUGAAUCUUUCUUUCAGUGUCCACUAUAGGAUUUGGCUUUGUGCUGGACAUGGGAUUCUUUGAGACAAUAAAGCUUCUCCUUUGGGUUGUACUCAUAGAUUGUGUAGGCGUUGGUCUUCUGAUAGCAACUUUAAUGUGGUAAGUACCAUAACUUUGGUUUUUCAGAUACUGCUGUAGCAUCUCCAUUUGUUUGCUUCAGAGGUACAAUAGCAGCAGAUGGAAAUUGAAACCCAGGUAGAGUUACUAAAUGAUCAAUUUUGACUGCCAAGAUUAUUACAAUUUUCCCUCCUGUGUUGCCACCUAUAUCAGAAAAUACUAUAAAGGCUGGUUUAUAAUAUUGUCAAAUGUAGCAAAUAAUUGAAAUAAUUAUGUUUUGAACCCAAAAUAUCUGAGAUCGGUCUCAAUUUAGAAAGUUUAGUUUGCCAAAGUUAAGGACAUGCCUGUGACACAGCCUUAGGAGGUCCUGAUGACAUGUGCCCAAGGUGGUCGGGGCACAGCUUGCUCUUAUACAUUUUAGGGAGACUUGAGACAUCAGUCAAUAUGUGUAAAAUGUACAUUGUUUUAAUCCAGAAAGUGGGGAAAGGCAGGUUACAGUUAGAUAAGAGACAAAUGGUUGCAUUCUUUUGAGUCUUUGAUCUGCCUUUCACUGAAUACACAAUUUACUUGUGAGAGGCAGGUACAGGAAUAGUCAUUUAUGCCUUAAUCUGGCUCAGUGAGUCUGCAUUUUUACAUAAACAAUGGGGCAGAGGAAGCAAUCAGAUAAACACUUGUCUCAGGUGAGUAGAAGGAGGACUUUCUGUCCCACACCUGUAAAGAUAAGCUAUCUUAGGAAUAAAAUAGGAGGCAAGUUUGCCUGACACAGUUACCAGCUUGACUUUUCCCUUUGGCUUAGUGAUUUUGGGGUCCCGAGAUUUAUUUUCUGCAUACUAACAAAAUGCCUGGUUUUGCAAAAAUAUUACAGAUUUAGCCAGUUCUGCUUAAGUUGUC